This 2290-nucleotide long non-coding RNA is filed under the name Sus scrofa (pig). RNAcentral's name for it is "lncRNA (ENSSSCG00050022179.1)". Lineage: Eukaryota; Metazoa; Chordata; Mammalia; Artiodactyla; Suidae. The record is from RNAcentral.
GGAGAGUAGAGGAAAGACAGGAGAUGGUUGUUGGCAAGGGCAGGGCGACUGUCAGGCCGAGGCCCGAUGUGCUGGGCUGGGGGGUGGGCGGUGCCCACUUGAAGUUCAAGGUCAUAAACUUAACUGGAGCCAAUCCAAAUCCACUGCCCAAGCAAAAGCGUAUCUAAGAAAAAGAAAAAUAACUCGAAGCCUCCAAGACACAUAAAAUCCAGAAUGGGCUGACAACAGUGAAGAAGGGUAGAGCUUUUCAGAAAGAUGACCCUCGAUUCAGGGCUUAGCCAUUCUGGUACAUGGAGCCAAGUUCAUUUUACACGCAACUGACUUACGAGUGUCUCAUAACUCUGGACUCGUAACGGACACCACAAAAGCCCAUUCAAUGUCCAAUUGCUGGGAUGAGCCUAGUGGACAAAACGUCAAGCCAAUGGCAUGAGGACUGUGGUUUCAAUCAAGACCUGUCCCCCCAGAGCAGGGCUGCCCCAGCCCAUCCAUCUGGCAUCUCCGAGUCUCGGCAUCUUCUCUGAAAAUGAGAAUCAGAAGGUGUGUGAGCAAAGUUUGUUGUGUUAAUCAAAAAUAUGUUAAUUUUCUGCAUUUCAAUAACUUCAAGCUUAGCCUGAGAACCUUCCAAGCUGUAGAAAACCUCCUUGACUAAGAGUCCACCUGCACAAGGACCUCCGUCCUUCUGAACACAAACGAGCUGGAAUAGACCGUAAAGAAGGAGGGGGACCCUGGGGCCAGGAAGCUGGUCCUUCACAAGCAGGUCAGUGGUGGGGAUGCAGCUGGGGGCACAUGACACGAUGACAUUUCAUCUGGGUCUGAAAUACUCAGGCCCAGGCCCCCGAGAGUCCUGCAAACAGCGAAUCAGAAGGACCGCAGAGACUGAACAGGUGGUCCCUGAGCAGGUGGCUCUUGGCUGCUUGGAUGAGGGAGGGGAGAGGAGAGAGAAGAUGCUGGGGGCCACCCCAGGGGCCCUGCGCUGGAGACAGGUCCUGGGGCCCAGACUGUCUCACCCGAGAUGCAUCUUCCAUACCCUCCUUGGCAAGUCAGUCCUGAGCAUGAGCCUAGAGAAACCCCUUCACCGGCCUGCCGUGGAGAAGGCCCUUCAAAGCCUCCCUCAGAAGAACGAGAAGCAUCCAAUGCUCCAUCAGUGGUGCCAUUACUAAUCAAAUUUAAAAGGAUUAAUGAGGGACCUCCCGUCAUGGCGCAGCGGACACGAAUCCGACUAGGAACCAUAAGGUUUUCGGUUCGAUCCCAGGCCCCGCUCAAUGGGUUAAGGAUCCAGCGUUGCCAUGAGCUGUGGUGUAGGUCGUGGACGCGGCUUGAAUCUGGCGUUACUGUGGCUGUGCCACAAGCUGACAGCUAUAGCUCCGAUAAGACCCCGAGUCUGGGAACCUCCACAUGCUGCAAGUGUGGCCCUAAAAAGACAAAAAGACUAAAAUAAAAUAAAAAGUUUAGUGAGUAAAGAAAUAAAGUAGGAAAGCCUCUUGGAGGAAAGAAUGAAAGAUCUGUGUUAUAGUGACAAUGACAGAAAUGAAAAGCAUUUUGCCAAGAUUUUGCACCUGUGACAAGCCAGGCCAAGUCACAGACUUCGAAAAGAAUGGGCUCUUUUGGACGGGCGUGUCUGCACACCGAGGUCUAACCACUGGGGCAGUUCUACCCUAUUAGGUGAAGAAGAAACCCCCUCAUCUUGUUGUGGCUUGUGCCGCCCUGCAGGGCUGGGAUUGGGCAGAGAAAGCCUGUGUUUACGUGCGACUUUAAUUUGAUUUACUGUCCCUGACAAGCCCGCCUGAACCCAGCGCUCUGUCUCAGCAGGGUCCCUGCCUCGCCUCUCCUGCUCUGCAAGAACUCGAAAGCAGGAGCUGGCAGGUGGAUGCCGAGGGGGACUUCGCCUCCCUUCAUGCUUGCCCAGGGCAAGUGGAACCAAGCCCGACUGCUUCAGAACCUUUCCUGGGCACGGGCUAAAGGCGCUUGGUGUCACGGUGUCACUGGAGGUGGCCUGAGGGGCAGACAGAUUCACCAGCAAUGGCUGCAUCUUGGGAGCUCAGCUCUGUGAAGCGGCAGUGUCAGCCCCGUGCGAGCUCCCCGCCAUCUGGGGAGGGGACACUGUGCUUGGAAAGUCAGAAGACAGGAAAGCAUCUGCGCCCUCCUCCUCCCGAGGCCCUCAGUGUCCUGCCUCCUCUCUGAGGCUGUCUGUGUUCGAACCUGCCCUGGGCCCUGUCACCGGAACAAAAGAUGGAAUUUCGCAUUUCUACCUCCUCAUUUCCUAGAAUUUCAGCUGCCUUCAUGGUUCUCC